This 373-nucleotide unclassified non-coding RNA is filed under the name soil metagenome. RNAcentral describes it as "partial contains 5.8S ribosomal RNA, internal transcribed spacer 2, and large subunit ribosomal RNA". The stretch from base 1 to 120 matches the Rfam family "5.8S ribosomal RNA", at positions 35 to 154 of the family's 154-position model. The record is from RNAcentral.
GAUGAAGAACGUAGCGAAAUGCGAUAAGUAAUGUGAAUUGCAGAAUUCAGUGAAUCAUCGAAUCUUUGAACGCACAUUGCGCCCGCCAGUAUUCUGGCGGGCAUGUCUGUUCGAGCGUCAUUACAACCCUCAGGCCCCCCGGCUUGGUGUUGGGGACCGGCCACCGGUGCCCUGCUGCUUCCGCGGCAGGCGCACCCGGCCGCCCCCGAAAUGAAUUGGCGGCCCCGUCGCGGCCUCCCUCUGCGUAGUCGCACACAUCUCGCAGCUGGAGCGCGGCGCGGCCACUGCCGUAAAACGCACCAACUUUUUUUACAGUUGACCUCGAAUCAGGUAGGAAUACCCGCUGAACUUAAGCAUAUCAAUAAGCGGAGGA